UACGAAGGGGGCUAGCGUUGCUCGGAAUUACUGGGCGUAAAGCGCACGUAGGCGGCUUUCUAAGUCAGGGGUGAAAUCCCAGGGCUCAACCCUGGAACUGCCUUUGAUACUGUCGAUCUGGAGUAUGGAAGAGGUGAGUGGAAUUCCGAGUGUAGAGGUGAAAUUCGUAGAUAUUCGGAGGAACACCAGUGGCGAAGGCGGCAUCCUGGACCAUUACUGACGCUGAGGCGCGAAAGCUAGGGGAGUAAACGGG
This 253-nucleotide ribosomal RNA is filed under the name uncultured bacterium. Its description in RNAcentral is "partial 16S ribosomal RNA". It matches the Rfam family "Bacterial small subunit ribosomal RNA", at positions 524 to 776 of the family's 1533-position model. The record is from RNAcentral.